RNAcentral lists this ribosomal RNA (255 nucleotides) under Klebsiella aerogenes. RNAcentral's name for it is "partial 23S ribosomal RNA". It matches the Rfam family "Bacterial large subunit ribosomal RNA", at positions 224 to 517 of the family's 2925-position model. The record is from RNAcentral. Lineage: Bacteria; Pseudomonadati; Pseudomonadota; Gammaproteobacteria; Enterobacterales; Enterobacteriaceae. RNAcentral also lists the same sequence under 1 other name.
AUCAACCGAGAUUCCCCCAGUAGCGGCGAGCGAACGGGGAGCAGCCCAGAGUCUGAAUCAGCUUGUGUGUUAGUGGAACGGUCUGGAAAGUCCGACGGUACAGGGUGAUAGUCCCGUACACCAAAAUGCACAGGUUGUGAACUCGAAGAGUAGGGCGGGACACGUGGUAUCCUGUCUGAAUAUGGGGGGACCAUCCUCCAAGGCUAAAUACUCCUGACUGACCGAUAGUGAACCAGUACCGUGAGGGAAAGGCGA